AACGUAGGAGACAAACGUUAUCCGGAGUUACUGGGCGUAAAGGGCGUGUAGGUGGUAUCGUAAGUCUGGCGUGAAAUUUCUCGGCUUAACCGAGGCAGGUCGUCGGAUACUGCGAGGCUAGAGGACGGUAGAGGCGUGUGGAAUUCCGGGUGUAGUGGUGAAAUGCGUAGAGAUCCGGAGGAACACCAGUGGCGAAGGCGACACGCUGGGCCGUACCUGACACUGAUGCGCGACAGCAUGGGGAGCAAAC
Molecule: ribosomal RNA, 250 nt
Filed under: uncultured bacterium
Lineage: Bacteria
Description: partial 16S ribosomal RNA
Rfam family: Bacterial small subunit ribosomal RNA
Source: RNAcentral